GAUGAAGAACGUAGCGAAAUGCGAUACUUGGUGUGAAUUGCAGAAUCCCGUGAACCAUCGAGUCUUUGAACGCAAGUUGCGCCCGAAGCCAUUAGGCCGAGGGCACGCCUGCCUGGGCGUCACACGUCGUUGCCCCCCCAUCUACUCCUUCGGGAUUGCGGGGGCGGAUGAUGGCCUCCCGUGCGCCUCGUCGCGCGGUUGGCAUAAAUGCCAAGUCCUCGGCGACGCACGCCACGACAAUCGGUGGUUGCGAAACCUCGGUUGCCCGUCGUGUGCGGUCGUCGCGCAUCGAGGGCUCGAAAAAAUUGUCGGGCUCCGGCUCGGCUUUCAACGCGACCCCAGGUCAGGCGGGGUUACCCGCUGAAUUUAAGCAUAUCAAUAAGCGGAGGA
Molecule: unclassified non-coding RNA, 390 nt
Filed under: soil metagenome
Description: partial contains 5.8S ribosomal RNA, internal transcribed spacer 2, and large subunit ribosomal RNA
Rfam family: 5.8S ribosomal RNA (bases 1-122)
Source: RNAcentral